RNAcentral lists this transfer RNA (110 nucleotides) under virus sp. ctBM815. RNAcentral's name for it is "tRNA-Ile". The stretch from base 35 to 110 matches the Rfam family "tRNA". Rfam says of the family: Transfer RNA (tRNA) molecules are approximately 80 nucleotides in length. Their secondary structure includes four short double-helical elements and three loops (D, anti-codon, and T loops). Further hydrogen bonds mediate the characteristic L-shaped molecular structure. tRNAs have two regions of fundamental functional importance: the anti-codon, which is responsible for specific mRNA codon recognition, and the 3' end, to which the tRNAs corresponding amino acid is attached (by aminoacyl-tRNA synthetases). tRNAs cope with the degeneracy of the genetic code in two manners: having more than one tRNA (with a specific anti-codon) for a particular amino acid; and 'wobble' base-pairing, i.e. permitting non-standard base-pairing at the 3rd anti-codon position. The record is from RNAcentral.
UAGCUCAGUGGUUAGAGCAACAGAUUGUUUAUAUAGCGGUAAUGCUAAUAUGUGGCAUGAGCGCCAUCCUUAUAAGAUGGAAAUAGUGGGUUCAACUCCCACUACCGCCA